CCUACGGGUGGCAGCAGUAGGGAAUCUUCCACAAUGGACGAAAGUCUGAUGGAGCAACGCCGCGUGAGUGAAGAAGGGUUUCGGCUCGUAAAGCUCUGUGGGUAGUGAAGACAGAUAGAGGUAGUAACUGGUCUUUAUUUGACGGUAAUUACUUAGAAAGUCACGGCUAACUACGUGCCAGCAGCCGCGGUAAUACGUAGGUGGCAAGCGUUGGCCGGAUUUGUUGGGCGUAAAGCGAGUGCAGGCGGUUCAAUAAGUCUGAUGUGAAAUCCUUCGGCUCAACCGGAGAAUUGCAUCAGAAACUGUUGAACUUGAGUGCAGAAGAGGAGAGUGGAACUCCAUGUGUAGCGGUGGAAUGCGUAGAUAUAUGGAAGAACACCAGUGGCGAAGGCGGCUCUCUGGUCUGCAACUGACGCUGAGGCUCGAAAGCAUGGGUAGCGAACAGGAUUAGAUACCCUUGUAGUC
This 465-nucleotide ribosomal RNA is filed under the name uncultured bacterium. RNAcentral's name for it is "partial 16S ribosomal RNA". It matches the Rfam family "Bacterial small subunit ribosomal RNA", at positions 338 to 795 of the family's 1533-position model. The record is from RNAcentral.